UGGGGAAUAUUGCACAAUGGGCGAAAGCCUGAUGCAGCAACGCCGCGUGAGUGAUGAAGGUCUUCGGAUUGUAAAGCUCUGUCUUUUGGGACGAUAAUGACGGUACCAAAGGAGGAAGCCACGGCUAACUACGUGCCAGCAGCCGCGGUAAUACGUAGGUGGCGAGCGUUGUCCGGAUUUACUGGGCGUAAAGGGUGCGUAGGCGGAUGUUUAAGUGAGAUGUGAAAUACCCGGGCUUAACUUGGGUGCUGCAUUUCAAACUGGAUAUCUAGAGUGCAGGAGAGGAGAAUGGAAUUCCUAGUGUAGCGGUGAAAUGCGUAGAGAUUAGGAAGAACACCAGUGGCGAAGGCGAUUCUCUGGACUGUAACUGACGCUG
Molecule: ribosomal RNA, 376 nt
Filed under: uncultured bacterium
Lineage: Bacteria
Description: partial 16S ribosomal RNA
Rfam family: Bacterial small subunit ribosomal RNA
Source: RNAcentral